GCGGAUGUAGCUCAGUUGGCUAGAGCGUCGCCUUGCCAUGGCGAAGGUCGCGAGUUCGAAUCUCGUCAUCCGCUCCA
RNAcentral lists this transfer RNA (77 nucleotides) under Candidatus Peregrinibacteria bacterium CG_4_9_14_3_um_filter_49_12. Its description in RNAcentral is "tRNA-Gly". It matches the Rfam family "tRNA". From Rfam's summary of the family: Transfer RNA (tRNA) molecules are approximately 80 nucleotides in length. Their secondary structure includes four short double-helical elements and three loops (D, anti-codon, and T loops). Lineage: Bacteria; Candidatus Peregrinibacteriota. The record is from RNAcentral. RNAcentral also lists the same sequence under 4 other names.